Non-coding RNA from Pocillopora verrucosa, 1259 nucleotides. Lineage: Eukaryota; Metazoa; Cnidaria; Anthozoa; Scleractinia; Pocilloporidae. The record is from RefSeq and is a predicted model, not a curated record.
AAACGAGAGUCAUGCGCUGAUUUAUUGCUAAAUGACUUUUCUCCCUUCGCCGAGUUCACUGAAACCUUUGUGAAACGUGAAUGAAAAGACCAACAUGGCGAAAGAACACCGUACAUUUAAAGAGGAGUGCAGUUAUAUUGAGCGCUUAAACGAAAACUCGUUUCUUAUCAAGAAAGGCUUUGUCCCAAACAUGAAGGUUGAAGGUAUCUUAGAUAUAUAAACGAGCUGCUCGAAAAACUAAUGUUUGAUGAGCUGAAGCACUGGGCUGGAACUCAAGAACUGGAGUGUCAUGGCAGCAACUUCCAGACAUGGUCUGUUCUCGUUAUUCAGUGAUGACAAACCUCUUCUCAGUUGCCAUGAUUUAAAUAUUGUGUAUUGUGUCAACCCAGAAGAAUCAGGGAGCAGAGCCUUAUUCAAAUAAAUCAUGAAUAUCCAAACUGAGCAGGAAUUGUCCCCGGGCCCACCGACGUGCUGGCACACAUUGGCUAUGUUCCUCGAACAGUCAUUCAGUACGCUAAGUACCUUCUAAGAGGCAACAGUAACGUUGAACUUUUCAUGGUCAAGGCAAUUACUAAUAUUCUACAAGUACUAGAAGACGAAGCACUGUAGAUUCCUGAUAGGUGCAAACGUGUGCGCAUCAGGUCACUAGCGAUGAUAAAUACUUGCAAGGCUAGUGAUCACCAUCAACCUUUUCCUGGUCUUGUUUGAAACCACCAGGAUUCGAUUUGAAAGAAGUAUCCGUCGUUAGCCCUCUGAUUGAAGAAGCUGUUGUGCAGUUUACGUUGGAAAAUCCUAAUUAUUUGUUGGAUGUAGUGGAUACCAUAAAAGGCCUAUCUGCAGGGAGACCUGGCAACUUAGUUGGCAAAUAUUGGGAGAAGCUGAUAUUUAGCAAUCUCAAGGAAUGUGUGAAAAAUGAGUAUUCCUUCAAGGAAGAGGCAUGUGGUUCCACUGCUGCUAGAUCCUACUUAAAUUUGUGUGGACAUCAAAGCAAAACAGAUACGAGAAAAUCGAUAGAGCAGAUAACUAGAGAUAAAUAUAGUGCAAUGAUAGUCCAUUGUCCUAAUACCAGCGCCUUUGACUUUGUCAUCGUUCAUAAAUGCAACAAAAUUCAUGCCAUUCAGGUAACCGUUCAAACCGCUGCGAAGAAAUGUAACGACAGUGACUUUUUCAAGACUGAAAAUAUUCACUUUACGUAUUUACUAGCGCCUUAUGAGGUCGACGUCAACGCUAUUAAAUUGAAAUAAAAGUUAUAUGAUGCA